RNAcentral lists this unclassified non-coding RNA (368 nucleotides) under fungal sp. RNAcentral describes it as "partial internal transcribed spacer region". The stretch from base 1 to 46 matches the Rfam family "Eukaryotic small subunit ribosomal RNA", at positions 1786 to 1831 of the family's 1831-position model. The record is from RNAcentral. Lineage: Eukaryota; Fungi.
AAGUCGUAACAAGGUUUCCGUAGGUGAACCUGCGGAAGGAUCAUUAACACGUUCCAAACGUUAUACCAAACCACAGAAUAUUCGUUCUCCCCAGCAUAAAGAGUUUAGUUGUCCCAAGAGGUUCAUGGUGGGAAUCUUCGGAUUCGACCUUGAGGGAAUAGGGGUUCGACCACGAGACUAUAAGUUUUAUGCUGGGCUUUAAUAUAUUUCAUAUCAACCUUCAUCACCUGAAGGCGGGUAUGGAAUAGCCAUAACCAUUUUCACCUUACUAAUAACAUUUGACUAAUACUACGUUGAUCCUUCGGGAUUAACAACUAAGUUUAUCUUAAACUAGAGUACAACUCUUAGCAAUGGAUAUCUUGGUUCUC